RNAcentral lists this signal recognition particle RNA (97 nucleotides) under Escherichia coli. RNAcentral's name for it is "signal recognition particle sRNA small type". It matches the Rfam family "Bacterial small signal recognition particle RNA". From Rfam's summary of the family: The signal recognition particle (SRP) is a universally conserved ribonucleoprotein involved in the co-translational targeting of proteins to membranes. RNAcentral also lists the same sequence under 1 other name. The record is from RNAcentral. Lineage: Bacteria; Pseudomonadati; Pseudomonadota; Gammaproteobacteria; Enterobacterales; Enterobacteriaceae.
UGUUGGUUCUCCCGCAACGCUACUCUGUUUACCAGGUCAGGUCCGGAAGGAAGCAGCCAAGGCAGAUGACGCGUGUGCCGGGAUGUAGCUGGCAGGC